UACGGGGGGUGCGAGCGUUGUCCGGAUUCACUGGGCGUAAAGGGCGCGUAGGCGGCCGGGUCAGUCGGGCCUGUAAGUGCGGGGCUCAACCCCGUGAUGGGCUCGGGACGGCACGGCUGGGGCGCGGCAGAGGGAGACGGAAUGCCGGGUGUAGUGGUGAAAUGCGUAGAGAUCCGGCGGAACACCGGUGGUGAAGACGGUCUCCUGGGCCGAGGGCCGACGCUGAGGCGCGAGAGCGUGGGGAGCGAGCCGG
RNAcentral lists this ribosomal RNA (253 nucleotides) under uncultured bacterium. RNAcentral describes it as "partial 16S ribosomal RNA". It matches the Rfam family "Bacterial small subunit ribosomal RNA", at positions 524 to 776 of the family's 1533-position model. The record is from RNAcentral.